RNAcentral lists this ribosomal RNA (511 nucleotides) under uncultured bacterium. RNAcentral describes it as "partial 16S ribosomal RNA". It matches the Rfam family "Bacterial small subunit ribosomal RNA", at positions 28 to 523 of the family's 1533-position model. The record is from RNAcentral.
GACGAACGCUGGCGGCGUGCCUAAUACAUGCAAGUAGAACGCUGAAGGAGGAGCUUACUUCUCUGGAUGAGUUGCGAACGGGUGAGUAACGCGUAGGUAACCUGCCUGGUAGCGGGGGAUAACUAUUGGAAACGAUAGCUAAUACCGCAUAAGAGUAGAUGUUGCAUGACAUUUACUUAAAAGGUGAAAUUGCACCACUACCAGAUGGACCUGCGUUGUAUUAGAUAGUUGGUGGGGUAACGGCUUACCAAGGCGACGAUACAUAGCCGACCUGAGAGGGUGAUCGGCCACACUGGGACUGAGACACGGCCCAGACUCCUACGGGAGGCAGCAGUAGGGAAUCUUCGGCAAUGGACGGAAGUCUGACCGAGCAACGCCGCGUGAGUGAAGAAGGUUUUCGGAUCGUAAAGCUCUGUUGUAAGAGAAGAACGAGUGUGAGAGUGGAAAGUUCACACUGUGACGGUAUCUUACCAGAAAGGGACGGCUAACUACGUGCCAGCCGCCGCGGUAA